RNAcentral lists this ribosomal RNA (463 nucleotides) under uncultured bacterium. RNAcentral's name for it is "partial 16S ribosomal RNA". It matches the Rfam family "Bacterial small subunit ribosomal RNA", at positions 28 to 507 of the family's 1533-position model. The record is from RNAcentral.
GAUGAACGCUGACAGAAUGCUUAACACAUGCAAGUCUUUGGCGAAGCUGUGCUUGCACAGCCUAGCCAAGGCGGACGGGUGAGUAACGCGUAAGGAACUUGCCCUGCAGUCAGGGAUAACAGACGGAAACGACUGAUAAGACCUGGUAAAGUCAGGCGGACUCAUGUCCAGCCUGAUGAAAAGAGAUGCUGCAGGAGAGCCUUGCGUCCUAUUAGCUUGUUGGUGGGGUAACGGCCCACCAAGGCGAUGAUAGGUAGCCGGCCUGAGAGGGUGGACGGCCACAAGGGGACUGAGAUACGGCACAUACUCCUGCGGGAGGCAGCAGUGGGGAAUAUUGGACAAUGGGGGCAACCCUGAUCCAGCAAUUCUGUGUGCACGAUGAAGGUUUUCGGAUUGUAAAGUGCUUUCAGCAGGGAAGGAGAAAAUGACGGUACCUGCAGAAGAAGCGACGGCUAAAUACGUG